AGAGUUUGAUCAUGGCUACAGAACGAACGCUGGCGGCAUGCCUAACACAUGCAAGUCGAGCGGGAUCCAGGCUUCGGCCUGGUGAGAGUGGCGGACGGGUGAGUAACACGUGGGAACCUGCCUUUUGGUUCGGGAUAACCGCGGGAAACUGCGGCUAAUACCGGAUGCUCCCGAGAGGGGAAAGAUUUAUCGCCAGAAGAGGGGCCCGCGUCCGAUUAGGUAGUUGGUGAGGUAAUGGCUCACCAAGCCGACGAUCGGUAGCUGGUCUGAGAGGAUGAUCAGCCACACUGGGGACUGAGAUACGGCCCAGACUCCUACGGGAGGCAGCAGUGGGGAAUAUUGGACAAUGGGGGCAACCCUGAUCCAGCAAUGCCGCGUGAGUGAUGAAGGCCUUAGGGUUGUAAAGCUCUUUUGCCAGGGAAGAUGAUGACUGUACCUGGAGAAUAAGCCCCGGCUAACUUCGUG
RNAcentral lists this ribosomal RNA (465 nucleotides) under uncultured bacterium. Its description in RNAcentral is "bacterial SSU rRNA". It matches the Rfam family "Bacterial small subunit ribosomal RNA", at positions 8 to 507 of the family's 1533-position model. The record is from RNAcentral.